GCCAGGAGAGGUGGUGCACACCUGGAGUCUCAGCUACUUGGGAGGCUGAGGCACGAGAAUCACUUGAACUCAGGAGGCAGAGGUUGCAGUGAGCCGAGAUUGCGCCACUGCACUCCAGCCUGGGUGACAGAGCGAGACUGUCUUUUUUUUUUUUUUUUAGAAUGGAGUCUCGCUCUGUCGCCCAGACUGGAGUGCAGUGGCGCAAUCUCGGCUCACUGCAAGCUCUGCCUCCUGGGUUCACACCGUUCUCCUGCCUCAG
Molecule: small RNA, 259 nt
Filed under: Macaca fascicularis (crab-eating macaque)
Lineage: Eukaryota; Metazoa; Chordata; Mammalia; Primates; Cercopithecidae
Description: Metazoan signal recognition particle RNA (ENSMFAG00000058295.1)
Source: RNAcentral